UGUUAUCAAUCUUGUUGCUUCGGGGGCGACCCUGCCGACGACUUCGUGAAGGGGUGCCUGAGCAGUUCUUCCAAACGCUGCAUCUUUGCGUGUGAGUAAACAACAAAUUAAACAAAACUUUCAACAACGGAUCUCUUGGUUCUGGCAUCGAUGAAGAACGCAGCGAAAUGCGAUAAGUAAUGUGAAUUGCAGAAUUCAGUGAAUCAUCGAAUCUUUGAACGCACAUUGCGCCCUUUGGUAUUCCGAAGGGCAUGCCUGUUCGAGCGUCAUUUCACCACUCAAGCCUGGCUUGGUAUUGGGCGUCGCGGUGUUCCGCGCGCCUUAAAGUCUUCCGGCUGAGCUGUCCGUCUCUAAGCGUUGUGGAUUUUUCAAUUCGCUUCGGAGUGCGGGCGGCCGCGGCCGUUAAAUCUUUAUUCAAAGGUUGACCUCGGAUCA
This 435-nucleotide small RNA is filed under the name Pseudocercospora sp. 7 MS-2015. RNAcentral's name for it is "eukaryotic LSU rRNA". The stretch from base 116 to 269 matches the Rfam family "5.8S ribosomal RNA". The record is from RNAcentral. Lineage: Eukaryota; Fungi; Ascomycota; Dothideomycetes; Mycosphaerellales; Mycosphaerellaceae.